UGCCAGCCGCCGCGGUAAGACGGAGGGGGCUAGCGUUGUUCGGAAUUACUGGGCGUAAAGGGCGCGUAGGCGGUCGAUCAAGUUAGGCGUGAAAGCCCUAGGCUUAACCUAGGAACUGCGCUUAAUACUGGUUGACUAGAGUUCGGUAGAGGGAAGUGGAAUUCCUAGUGUAGAGGUGAAAUUCGUAGAUAUUAGGAGGAACACCAGAGGCGAAGGCGGUCUCUUGGUCCGAAACUGACGCUGAGGCGCGAAAGCGUGGGGAGCAAACAGGAUUAGAUA
RNAcentral lists this ribosomal RNA (279 nucleotides) under uncultured bacterium. RNAcentral's name for it is "partial 16S ribosomal RNA". It matches the Rfam family "Bacterial small subunit ribosomal RNA", at positions 506 to 784 of the family's 1533-position model. The record is from RNAcentral.